RNAcentral lists this long non-coding RNA (380 nucleotides) under Hordeum vulgare. Its description in RNAcentral is "long non-coding RNA (HVUL_LNC018831)". The record is from RNAcentral. Lineage: Eukaryota; Viridiplantae; Streptophyta; Magnoliopsida; Poales; Poaceae.
UUGGGAGGAUCGAGAAACGAAAACAACUCUGAAAUGCAUCGGAUAGACAUGGAAGGAAUUUCUCAUGGUUGAAAACAAUACAAGAUGAACCAUGAAUCUUCAUGAGAACGGAUAAAGAUUUAAGAGAGACUCUUCUUCUCCCUUCGAAGUUGAGAAUGACAACGAUGAACACCACCAUGGAUUACUGAGAUACCCCGGAAUGAUGAAUAAAGAAAUGUUGAGCCAACCAUGAAAAUAAUUCAAAGUGAUCUUGGAUACGGAAUUUGACCGAUGAGAUUCAUUAUUGCGCCAUAUUUGAAAAGAACUUGGGAUCUCCGAAAAAGAUUAGAAGAGCCAGGUAAGAUCCUGGGAAAAGUCUGUGUUAUAUGGGCCCACUCAAA